Rhinichthys klamathensis goyatoka is the source of this 471-nucleotide long non-coding RNA. RefSeq lists it as uncharacterized. The record is from RefSeq and is a predicted model, not a curated record. The transcript is spliced from 2 exons. NCBI's taxonomy places the organism in Eukaryota, Metazoa, Chordata, Actinopteri, Cypriniformes, Leuciscidae.
AAACAUAUCCUCUAAUACUCACAGGUCGCUUUAUUGCUGCAAAUAACUAUAUCUGUAACUUUUUGAUUGAACUUUGCUCACUGUAAAUUGUGUUGGGCUUCUUCUAAUCUCAUGUUCAAUGUAACUCAUAGAGUGCUGUACAGUGACGACAGACAAGAGGAUAAAGCUUGCUGAGGAGGAUAUAGCCAAAGCUUUUAAAGAUCCUCUGAUAAAGCAGUCUUCAAAUACUACAAGCCCCAGUUGCAGAAAAUGAGUCGAACUCAGAGAAGUGAUCGUCUACUUGAAGAUGAAGAUGUGACAUUCAAACUCUUCUGUUUCUUUGGUUCAGCCAUUUGUAGGCCUAAGUUUGUAAAUAAUGCAUUAUUCACUUCUGCACAUUAUUUUUCUGAAACUUUUUUUUUUUUUUUUCAGAAAAUUGCAUUGUGAUGCUUAUUUAGUGAUGUAAAAUUCAUAGUGUACUUUUCAGUAAUA